Molecule: ribosomal RNA, 253 nt
Filed under: uncultured bacterium
Lineage: Bacteria
Description: partial 16S ribosomal RNA
Rfam family: Bacterial small subunit ribosomal RNA
Source: RNAcentral
UACGGAGGGUGCAAGCGUUAUCCGGAUUCACUGGGCUUAAAGGGUGCGUAGGCGGGCUGGUAAGUCAGUGGUGAAAUCUCCAGGCUUAACUUGGAAACUGCCAUUGAUACUAUCAGUCUUGAAUACCGUGGAGGUCAGCGGAAUAUGUCAUGUAGCGGUGAAAUGCUUAGAUAUGACAUAGAACACCAAUUGCGAAGGCAGCUGGCUACACGAAUAUUGACGCUGAUGCGCGAAAGCGUGGGGAUCAAACAGG